AGUGAACGCUGGCGGUAGGCCUAACACAUGCAAGUCGAACGGCAGCACAGUAAGAGCUUGCUCUUACGGGUGGCGAGUGGCGGACGGGUGAGGAAUACAUCGGAAUCUACUUUUUCGUGGGGGAUAACGUAGGGAAACUUACGCUAAUACCGCAUACGACCUACGGGUGAAAGCAGGGGAUCUUCGGACCUUGCGCGAUUGAAUGAGCCGAUGUCGGAUUAGCUAGUUGGCGGUGUAAAGGCCCACCAAGGCGACGAUCCGUAGCUGGUCUGAGAGGAUGAUCAGCCACACUGGAACUGAGACACGGUCCAGACUCCUACGGGAGGCAGCAGUGGGGAAUAUUGGACAAUGGGCGAAAGCCUGAUCCAGCCAUACCGCGUGGGUGAAGAAGGCCUUCGGGUUGUAAAGCCCUUUUGUUGGGAAAGAAAAGCAGCAGGUUAAUACCCCGCUGUUCUGACGGUACCCAAAGAAUAAGCACCGGCGAACUUCGU
This 491-nucleotide ribosomal RNA is filed under the name uncultured bacterium. RNAcentral describes it as "partial 16S ribosomal RNA". It matches the Rfam family "Bacterial small subunit ribosomal RNA", at positions 29 to 506 of the family's 1533-position model. The record is from RNAcentral.